RNAcentral lists this ribosomal RNA (779 nucleotides) under uncultured Lake Michigan cyanobacterium LMRTGG15-1. RNAcentral's name for it is "bacterial SSU rRNA". It matches the Rfam family "Bacterial small subunit ribosomal RNA", at positions 1 to 830 of the family's 1533-position model. Lineage: Bacteria; Bacillati; Cyanobacteriota. The record is from RNAcentral.
CUUGUUUGANCCCUGGCUCAGGAUGAAACNCUGNCGNCGUGCUUAAACANAUGNAAGUCGAACGGAACUUNGGGUUAGUGNCGGANGGGGUGAGUAACNCGUGGAAAUCUGNCCCUCAGGAGGGGGAUAACGGUUGGAAACGACCGMWAAUACCCCAUAUGCCGAGAGGUGAAACRAAAUUCGCCUGAGGAUGAGCCCGCGUCUGAUUAGCUAGUUGGUGGGGUAAAGGCCUACCAAGGCAUCGACCAGUAGCUGGUCUGAGAGGAUGAUCAGCCACACUGGGACUGAGACACGGCCCAGACUCUACGGGAGGCAGCAGUGGGGAAUUUUCCGCAAUGGGCGCAAGCCUGACGGAGCAACGCCGCGUGAGGGAUGAAGGCCUCUGGGCUGUAAACCUCUUUUCUCAAGGAAGAAGAACUGACGGUACUUGAGGAAUAAGCCACGGCUAAUUCCGUGCCAGCAGCCGCGGUAAUACGGGAGUGGCAAGCGUUAUCCGGAAUUAUUGGGCGUAAAGCGUCCGCAGGCGGCCUUGAAAGUCUGUCGUUAAAGCGUGGAGCUUAACUCCAUUUCGGCGGUGGAAACUACAAGGCUUGAGUGUGGUAGGGGCAGAGGGAAUUCCCGGUGUAGCGGUGAAAUGCGUAGAUAUCGGGAAGAACACCAGUGGCGAAGGCGCUCUGCUGGGCCAUAACUGACGCUCAUGGACGAAAGCUAGGGGAGCGAAAGGGAUUAGAUACCCCUGUAGUCCUAGCCGUAAACGAUGAACACUAGGUGUUGCGGGU